CGAGCACGCGCGUGUGGCAUAUCAAUAAGCGGAGGAAAAGAAACUAACAAGGAUUCCCUUAGUAACGGCGAGUGAAGCGGGAAGAGCUCAAAUUUGAAAUCUUCAAGGUUCUACCUUGACGAAUUGUAGUUUAUAGAAGUGUUUUCUGUUAGUAGGAGUGGCAAAAGUUCUUUGGAAUAGGACAUCAUAGAGGGUGAGAAUCCCGUAUUUGGUCAUUCCUCCUAGCGUUGUGAUACACUUUCAACGAGUCGGAUUGUUUGGGAAUGCAGUCCAAAAUGGGUGGUAAAUUUCAUCUAAAGCUAAAUAUUGGCGAGAGACCGAUAGCGAACAAGUACCGUGAGGGAAAGAUGAAAAGAACUUUGAAAAGAGAGUUAAACAGUACGUGAAAUUGUCAAAAGGGAAGCGUUUGACACCAGUGUUGUUUUUCCGAAAAUCAAUUACGAAUGUUUUAUUUUUGAGGAGUUAUGACUUCAUCGGCUUGCUCCUUUCUUUAUGAAACUUUCUUAAUGCACUUUUCGGUUAACAAGUCAACAUCAAUUUCUUUUGUUGUAAAAGGGUAUGAGGAAGGUGGCUUUCUUUUCGGAGAAAGUGUUUAUAGCCUUGUACCUCUGCAAUCGGAGAGAUUGAGGUCUGCAGCGUAGAUCCUUCGGGGUUAGAUACAUUUGUGCUAAGUUAUAGCUUUUCAUAGACAACUUGUUGACUAUGUUAAGUCUUGUAGCUUACUCGCUGAUGCUAUUUUACCUACGCUUAGGAUGUUGAACUCUAUCACACACAG
This 775-nucleotide ribosomal RNA is filed under the name uncultured Neocallimastigales. Its description in RNAcentral is "partial large subunit ribosomal RNA". It matches the Rfam family "Eukaryotic large subunit ribosomal RNA", at positions 19 to 621 of the family's 3401-position model. The record is from RNAcentral. Lineage: Eukaryota; Fungi; Neocallimastigomycota; Neocallimastigomycetes; Neocallimastigales.